AGUGAACGCUGGCGGUAGGCCUAACACAUGCAAGUCGAACGGCAGCACAGUAAGAGCUUGCUCUUACGGGUGGCGAGUGGCGGACGGGUGAGGAAUACAUCGGAAUCUACUUUUUCGUGGGGGAUAACGUAGGGAAACUUACGCUAGUACCGCAUACGACCUACGGGUGAAAGCAGGGGAUCUUCGGACCUUGCGCGAUUGAAUGAGCCGAUGUCGGAUUAGCUAGUUGGCGGGGUAAAGGCCCACCAAGGCGACGAUCCGUAGCUGGUCUGAGAGGAUGAUCAGCCACACUGGAACUGAGACACGGUCCAGACUCCUACGGGAGGCAGCAGUGGGGAAUAUUGGACAAAGGGCGCAAGCCUGAUCCAGCCAUACCGCGUGGGUGAAGAAGGCCUUCGGGUUGUAAAGCCCUUUUGUUGGGAAAGAAAAGCAGCAGGUUAAUACCCCGCUGUUCUGACGGUACCCAAAGAAUAAGCACCGGCUAACCUCGUG
Molecule: ribosomal RNA, 492 nt
Filed under: uncultured bacterium
Lineage: Bacteria
Description: partial 16S ribosomal RNA
Rfam family: Bacterial small subunit ribosomal RNA
Source: RNAcentral